UUCUUAUCCAGAGUGGUAGAGGGACAGGCCCGAUGAAACCCGGCAACCAUCUAGUCAAAAUAUUGACUUGAACGGUGCUAAUUCCUGCAAAGGUGUUUACCUUUGAAAGAUGAGAG
Molecule: non-coding RNA, 116 nt
Filed under: Bacillus sp. (in: firmicutes)
Lineage: Bacteria; Bacillati; Bacillota; Bacilli; Caryophanales; Bacillaceae
Description: Bacillus sp. SAM-I sequence
Rfam family: SAM riboswitch aptamer (S box leader)
About the family: The SAM riboswitch is found upstream of a number of genes which code for proteins involved in methionine or cysteine biosynthesis in Gram-positive bacteria. The SAM riboswitch acts at the level of transcription termination control.
Source: RNAcentral